This 67-nucleotide transfer RNA is filed under the name Calcaritermes brevicollis. RNAcentral's name for it is "tRNA-Met". Lineage: Eukaryota; Metazoa; Arthropoda; Insecta; Blattodea; Kalotermitidae. RNAcentral also lists the same sequence under 1 other name. The record is from RNAcentral.
AGAAAAGUAAGCUAACAUAAGCUAAUGGGUUCAUACCCCAUCCAUAGAGUGUAUACUCUCUUCUCUA